Capra hircus (goat) is the source of this 546-nucleotide long non-coding RNA. RefSeq lists it as uncharacterized. NCBI's taxonomy places the organism in Eukaryota, Metazoa, Chordata, Mammalia, Artiodactyla, Bovidae. The record is from RefSeq and is a predicted model, not a curated record. The transcript is spliced from 5 exons.
GGCGGAGCGAGCUGGGCGGCGCGCGGCGCGCUGGGACUGUGGGGACACCCUGGUGGAGCCGCUGAAGCCGGCCUGGCUUGAGUGACAACCUCUACCUGAAUGACAUAUACAUCUGAGAACUGCUGCUGACUUCUUGAAGAUCCCCUGGAGGAAGAAAUGGCAACCCACUCCAGUAUUCUUGCCUGGAAAAUCCCUUGAACAGAGCUUGGUGGGCUACAGUCCAUAGGGUUGUGAAGAGUCAGACACGACUGAGCAUGUUCGCACACAGCACAGCUGGCUGACUUCUUAAAUCUCUUCUCACUCUUAGAUAAGGAAGACAUCUUUCAGACAGUGGCUCCUCCUCAGACUUGAUUCAAAGAGAGAACACACAGCAAUGCAAGCUGAACCCAAAAGAGCCUAGCAGAACCCAGUAAUAUGAGAUGAAGAAGCUGUUUGGCAGCCAAAGAUGGACAUUUCUCCUGAAGAGGAUAUUGGAAAAGGAAGGACUCCUCAGAAGGGCUUCCCUGGUGGCUCAGAGGUUAAAGCAUCUGCCUCCAAUGCGGGAGA